AAUAACACGAUACCAAAUAACACAGUCUCGUGAUAGUCAUUUAAUGGUGGUAGGAUUACUUGUGAGUCCACACGGGUAGGUAUCACCACUCUGCCUAUUUAAUUUUCUGCCGUGAAGCAGUAAUGCGUUUCGGUUUGAAGGGCGGGGCAGCCGUUGUACUGUUAAAAGUAAGACCUUAGAACGCAUGUCUCAAGGUGGGCUUACAUUGUUGAUGUCUAUGUGCUCCGGUAACCACUUAGCACCAGGUGGGCCGUGAGUUCGUCCACACAUGUAUCUAAGCGAUAAAAAAAUAAUUAGGUACAUUAUUCCGAAACAAACAAAUGAGUGUGAACUAUUUCGGAACAUGUUACAAGCAUGCGUGUCGUAUGAGAGACACAAAUCCUUGUUAACUGACAAUAAUGGCGAAUUACAAUAAGAUGCAAGUCAUCCAUUCAGUUUCAAGUCCAACGACCCAAAAACGUUCGUUCUCGAAUAAAGUCGCGAUCCAAAUCCGUUCGAACUCCCGAAAGAAUUAAACAAAUCACGCCACUACAAAAACAUUGAAACAUUCCGAAUACAAAUUACGGACCACACAUCGUUCUCAAACCGAUAUUAUUGUCAAAGAGUAAAAACUUAAAAAUAGAACGUGUCCGCUUGCUGAUCAGUAAUCAACGCGCGCGCAACCCGGUGCAAACCUUUGAGAGAACAAUAACUUGUUGUUCGGCCGCGGCGGCGCGGCGGUGUCGAAACCCGAGGUCGUGCGAAGAUGCUGAUGAAACUGAAAUGAGCACGUAAGUGGAAAGAUUGUAACGAACCAUCAACGGAUCUGUCUGUCAACGAACAUAUGACCAAAGUUAUGUUUAUAGACAGAAUGGAAGGAACACCUUAGAAUUCACUGGCGCACUCAACUUACACUUACUCAAAUAAUUCGUUUACCUCGGAUCCACCAUCACGGAUAACGGCUGUUGUUAUUCGAACACGCGUCGAAGAAUCGGAAUGAUCGAAAGUGCAAUGUUCCAGUUGCACAAAACUUGGAGAGACAGGAAUGUAUCGCUGUAGACGAAUACCGAAUAUGCGCACAUUUGUCUUCACCAGUUUUCUCUAUGGAGCUGAGACUUAGACCCUAAGACCCGUAUACUGCAAACGGGUUGAUGUCUUCGAAAUAUGGUCCUAAAGGAAUAAGCUGUGGACUAUGUAUCGGAUCAAUGCACCAAUACUCGCGAAGCUGAAAAUUAAAACAAGGCUUUCUAGCAUCUGCCUCAAGCUAAUCCUAGUACUUCGGACUCAUCGCCGGGAAAGAAGCAGACAAAAAGCUAAUGAUUACUGGUAAAAUGGAAAGAAAAAGAUCGCAGUGACGCAGUUCAAUGCGUAGGUCUGACCAGAUCCGCACCACCCUUGACUUCACAGUCUCAGCCAUAUCCGACAGUAUACUCGUAUCUGUCUAUAUUAGAACUACUCUACAAAUCUACAUCUAUAAUAUCUCUAAUAUAAUAUAAUCUCUAAAUACUAAUAUCUCUACAAAGUUAAACUAUUCAACUUCAAGAGAAAUUCUAAAAAAUAUAUAUAUAAAUAGCUGUUUGUUGUGUUUAUGCAAACCGUACCGUGUUCAAUUCAAUAGGGCAUCAUUUGCAUUGGUAAUGCGGCGGCCCGGCGUAUUGGUAAACAGAGUGAUUUACCUCCGACGAACAAGCGCUCAGACGAUAACAGUUUUUAUACAACAUACGAAUACAACAUUUUGAAGGCUAAUAUUAUAGUUUCAUAUACUGUUUUGUCUGUAUUUUCUUCAACACAGGAGAUUGAUCUGAAUAAAUAAAUAUAGAUCGUUAUAUUUACAGAUACAGACAAGGUGUCCUUAAACUAUGUAUUGCUAUAUUGACAGCACUGUUUGUUUAUGAGCUUGUAUGAAGUUUGUUCUUGUUAAAUAAAUAAAAAAUGUUUUGUUUAAAACUUCAUUCAUA
Bombyx mori (domestic silkworm) is the source of this 1937-nucleotide long non-coding RNA. RefSeq lists it as uncharacterized. The record is from RefSeq and is a predicted model, not a curated record. The transcript has 2 exons. NCBI's taxonomy places the organism in Eukaryota, Metazoa, Arthropoda, Insecta, Lepidoptera, Bombycidae.